Molecule: ribosomal RNA, 483 nt
Filed under: uncultured bacterium
Lineage: Bacteria
Description: partial 16S ribosomal RNA
Rfam family: Bacterial small subunit ribosomal RNA
Source: RNAcentral
AUUGAACGCUGGCGGCAGGCCUAACACAUGCAAGUCGAGCGGAUGAAGGGAGCUUGCUCCUGGAUUCAGCGGCGGACGGGUGAGUAAUGCCUAGGAAUCUGCCUGGUAGUGGGGGAUAACGUCCGGAAACGGGCGCUAAUACCGCAUACGUCCUGAGGGAGAAAGUGGGGGAUCUUCGGACCUCACGCUAUCAGAUGAGCCUAGGUCGGAUUAGCUAGUUGGUGGGGUAAAGGCCUACCAAGGCGACGAUCCGUAACUGGUCUGAGAGGAUGAUCAGUCACACUGGAACUGAGACACGGUCCAGACUCCUACGGGAGGCAGCAGUGGGGAAUAUUGGACAAUGGGCGAAAGCCUGAUCCAGCCAUGCCGCGUGUGUGAAGAAGGUCUUCGGAUUGUAAAGCACUUUAAGUUGGGAGGAAGGGCAGUAAGUUAAUACCUUGCUGUUUUGACGUUACCAACAGAUAAGCACCGGCUAACUUCGUG